Molecule: ribosomal RNA, 447 nt
Filed under: uncultured bacterium
Lineage: Bacteria
Description: bacterial SSU rRNA
Rfam family: Bacterial small subunit ribosomal RNA
Source: RNAcentral
UCGGGAAUUUUGUGCAAUGGGCGAAAGCCUGACACAGCAACGCCGCGUGAAGGAUGAAGUCCCUCGGGAUGUAAACUUCGUAAGAAUAGGAAGAAUAAAUGACGGUACUAUUUGUAAGGUCCGGCUAACUACGUGCCAGCAGCCGCGGUAAUACGUAGGGACCAAGCGUUGUUCGGAUUUACUGGGCGUAAAGGGUGCGUAGGCGGCAUAUCAAGUCACUUGUGAAAUCUCCGGGCUUAACUCGGAACUGCCAAGUGAUACUGAUGUGCUAGAGUGCAGAAAGGGCAACUGGAAUUCUUGGUGUAGCGGUGAAAUGCGUAGAUAUCAAGAGGAACACCUGAGGUGAAGACGGGUUGCUGGGCUGAUACUGACGCUGAGGCGCGAAAGCUAGGGUAGCAAACGGGAUUAGAUACCCCUGUAGUCCCUGAGCGGGCUGGCAAGGCGCAU